AUACGUAGGUGGCAAGCGUUGUCCGGAAUUAUUGGGCGUAAAGCGCGCGCAGGCGGUCCUUUAAGUCUGAUGUGAAAGCCCACGGCUCAACCGUGGAGGGUCAUUGGAAACUGGGGGACCUGAGUGCAGAAGAGGAAAGUGGAAUUCCAAGUGUAGCGGUGAAAUGCGUAGAGAUUUGGAGGAACACCAGUGGCGAAGGCGACUUUCUGGUCUGUAACUGACGCUGAGGCGCGAAAGCGUGGGGAGCAAACAGGAUUAGAUACCCUGGUAGUCCACGCCGUAAACGAUGAGUGCUAAGUGUUAGGGGGUUUCCGCCCCUUAGUGCUGCAGCUAACGCAUUAAGCACUCCGCCUGGGGAGUACGGUCGCAAGACUGAAACUCAAAGGAAUUGACGGGG
Molecule: ribosomal RNA, 397 nt
Filed under: uncultured bacterium
Lineage: Bacteria
Description: partial 16S ribosomal RNA
Rfam family: Bacterial small subunit ribosomal RNA
Source: RNAcentral